UGACUACUGAAUACAAGCAUGCGAUUGGUUACUCGUACAAAUGUUUCUUUCAUAAUGGAAAAAGGGCCACGAAACUGUCUUCCAAUGCAACCAUUAAGUAGUAAAGUAAGUAGCCAUUGGAUUCAACCCUUCAUCGGUUGAACUAUCUACUUGGGCCGAAUCUAAUUGGUUUCGUUGAGCUUCUGGUAUUACUACAAUUCCAUUGCUAUCUAAUUUUGCGAUAGAGGCACAGGACUAGGCGUUUUAGGUACUGACGAACUAACUGUAUGACCAACAGACACUGAACUUUGUGACUGAGGUAUCAUUAGUAGGAACUGACAUGGAAGGUGUAUUUGAUUGAUGGCGGGAAGUAUAAAAAGGAAGACAGGGAUUGACAUUUUGAGGUAUAUGCCAACGAGCUGUAGGUGGUUGUUGCAUAGGAUAAUUUAUAUGUUGUGCGGAUGGAGAAGUUGGAUUACAUUG
Bombus huntii is the source of this 462-nucleotide long non-coding RNA. RefSeq lists it as uncharacterized. The transcript is spliced from 4 exons. NCBI's taxonomy places the organism in Eukaryota, Metazoa, Arthropoda, Insecta, Hymenoptera, Apidae. The record is from RefSeq and is a predicted model, not a curated record.